AACCUAGCACACCUGCGGUGUGUACCUGCGGAGGGAUCAUUACCGAGUAUCUUUCUGGAAACAGAAAGUCUCCCACCCUUGUGUAUCAAUAUCUGUUUACUUCGGCGAGACGUCUACUUUGGUAGCCGUUGGCCAUAAUGCGAGCGAGUGCUCGCCGAAGGUUCUUUAACUCUAAGUCUUUGUGGAGUCUAUAUUUACAUGAAAUAAAUAAAAACUUUCAACAAUGGAUCUCAGAUCGGA
This 240-nucleotide unclassified non-coding RNA is filed under the name soil metagenome. RNAcentral's name for it is "partial contains 5.8S ribosomal RNA, internal transcribed spacer 2, and large subunit ribosomal RNA". The record is from RNAcentral.